GGUGCGCCACGCGAGGGAAACUCCGCCCGGGUGCGCCACGCGAGGGGCUCGAACCCGGGCUGCGGGGGUGCCGCCGGAACCCCUUGACCACUCGAUCUAAGGGCCUUUGGCAGGAGGAUGGGGGCAUCAGCUAGCAGCGCUGCCGCCGGCCUUCGCCGCUCCAAUUCGCCAUGUUCGUCCGCUGUCGGACCAAUCCAGCACCACCACGAUGACCCCCCUCGUCGAGCCGAACGCGUUCAGGUGGACUUCGUCGCCCCUACAUCGCUGGACACCGCCGUCCACGGAGCUGCCGCCGGCCAUGUUGUCUCCGGCCAAAUUUCGACCAGCAUAGGGGCCCUCCGACGCCGGUGAGCGCCUCCCGAGACCUCCUCCACCCCCUCUCCAUUUUCCCCCUCUUGCCGAAGCUUCCCAUGUGCUGGAACGCGACGAGCAGGAAGGGGCCAGGACCAGAGAUUUAUUCCCGUCGCAUCCUCUCUCAGGUGUGACAUGUGAAGGGUGCAGUGGCAAUGCUAGACAGUAGACAGACGCUAUAUUGCUAAUCGCUGGCAUUGAGCAGGCUGGGCGUUUACGGCACCAUCCAAUCAUCCAUCAGGAGCAGGUCAUAGCAGAGUUGGCAAGCCACAGUCAAGUAUGGUUUGCAAACCUGCAGAUUCCCCUUUGAUUACUCUCUCAAUUUUGUCUUGGAUCUCUAGGUUUCUAUAAUUAUAGUAUGCAACAGGUUCUUUCUUUCUGCAUAGUCAGUGAUUGCUGUAGUGCUGAUUUGCAUACAACGUCAGGUUUGUGAGAAUAGAUGUUUACAUAUUUUUGCUAACAUAGCAAAGUAAUUGUCUUUAACACAGGGAUCAUCGUAUCUAGGGACAGAAGGGGUCUUUUCAAGUGCGUGCAUUAACGUAGAUAGACAAGAAUUUACAGGGAAAAUCACUUCACGCAGGCUUGGCAAUUUGUGUAAUUGCGUGGCAAUGGAUGUUUACCUGCUGCUUGGACAUGGGUUAGGCUGCUGUCAGCCUGUCAUACAAAAAUUGCAACCGGGUUUGGAAUUGAAAUGUUUUCUGUAGAAUUUUUUUUUGUUCUAAGCUUUGUGAAAAGCAACCAUGUUUCAAAAUUGAGCUUGAAGGUUAUUUUGUUUAUGCUAGCUGAAUCGUUGCUAUCAUGACAUGGUGAAGUAAUCUUAAAUUUGUUUUGAAAUAGAAGACAGUUUCGACUUUGAAAAUGUUGAGCUAAAUGCCAUCAAAGUAGAAAACUAGAUUAGUAUCUCUGAAAAUGUUGAACUACCAGUUGGCCUGUGGGAAUUAGGAACAUCUAUUGUUUUAUGUAAUAGAUAUUAUCUUAUGAGUAAUGCAUGUUCAGGCAACGACAGACCAUGCAUGCUGUUUUUAAUCAGAACCAUGGAAGGAAGUGGACCUCUGGUUAGUUGGUUCAUUGUGCCUGCGAGGAUAAAUAAGCACUAAAUUCUUAAUUUUGGAGUUAGGAGUAGUUUAGAAAUCCACAAUAACUAUAAACACUAGGAGUUUACACAUAAUUUGUACUGAUAAAUCACCGUAGCGUUGGCACCAUGUGGGAAGGGAGGACAUGUUAUUUUCUUUUCUUUGUCACCGAACAGAUAUGCUUUUUUUUAAAAUCUCCAAACAGAUUAAACCGAGCUUGGGUGAUAUUCAAUGAAUAUGUUAGCCGGAAAAAAUAAUCUAUUGAGCAAUAUGUUGUUUGUUUAUUAGCAUCUUAAAUUCAGCACAUUAUUGCCAUGUUUCAGACUGUUCAAAUUCUGUUCCAUCGGGAUGUUUCCGAGUUUGCAAAGCUACUUAGAGAAAUCAUGCUGCAAUAUCUCCAUUAGAAUGGGGAAUGUGCAUCUCAAUUAGAAAUAAAAUAAAAUAUAUGUUUAUUACUAUAAUUUUUUGCUAGUUUUUUUUUAAAAAAACAAAUUUAUAGUUAUGCUAACAAAGUUUUUUAAAUACAAUUUUUUGCUAGUUUUUUUUAAAAACAUGUGCAUGGGGAAUGAGCAUCUCCAUUAGAAUUUGUAGUUAUCCUAACAAAGUUGGUUAAAUUAAAAAUAUUUGUUUACUUGGUUUUCUUUAUGAAUGUAAAAUUCUUGUUUUCAACAUUUUGUGAAAGCUCCAUGUCAAUAAAAAUUAUUGUGGUAUUGAAUAUGCUGGUGCCGCACGUACCUUUCCAUGAAUAUAAAUUCUUAUUUGCCAUAAUCUUUUUUUAAAUUUGCCAUAAUUUUUUUAAACACGUUUGUGCCGCACGUACACUCUACUUGGCUUUUGUUAUCAAGCAAUAAUGGAUUCAGACAAGUUCUUAUGUUACAUUAUUAUUGUUAUCAAUUGUUAAUGUCUUGGCAGAACUUUUACACCAUGGAGUAUAUUAUGUAGCUCCGUAGAGUUGAUAUAGAAUUAGUUGUAAAUAUGGAAUGAAAAUGUGCAAAACCACUAAAUAAACACGUGCCCAGGCACGUGCAUAACCACUAUGGAAUUUAAAGAGAAAAAAAGGCCAUGUGAAGGACACGUUUUCGUUGACAGGGAUAUGGAUAUUGGGCUGGCAAUUUGGCCCACAAUAUCGAUGGAAUUUGGGCUAGGUCUAUUAUGAAUUUCAGAAAUUCCAAAUAAAUCUCAAAGGCCCAUAUGUGUGUGCAUGAGAGAGCUAGUGGUGCAAUCUUUUAGUCCCACCUUGUUUGUGGAAGAUGAGAAUGGCUAACUUAAAUAGUGAAGCUAUUCUUGCCUCUCCAAACUAUGUGUGUGGGGGGAAAGGAAGCCCCACAUGCGUGCGCUCGCUCGCCCCGCCGGGGCGAUGGGCGCGCGACAUACGCGUGAAUGGUCCGCCGAAAUCCGGCUUCUCGCCUUGCAGUGGCGUGACUUCCUUUUGCGGUUUUAUUUUUUGGUUGCUUGCCCAAUAAGUUGACGAGAUCUGCAAGGUCAAAUCGGUUUCCUAAUCUGAUUAUGGUUCCAAUCACGGCGCGAGGUCGUGGGCGCUCCUAUAUAUACAGCCUAUCAGUCUUCGUCAAAAUCAAUUUAAUCUGAGUUAGGGUUUUGCCUCUUCUCGCUGCUACGCCGCCACCGUAGUCUUCUCCAUCCUGAGUGUCGGCGUGCACCGGCGAACGGGAGAGCAGGUCUCCGAAACCUCUCGCCUUUGGGAUCCUGCACCGGGAGAAAGCGAAUAAGGUUUUUUGGAAGCGCCCGGGGCGACUACUCAAAGAUCUUCGUCACGGCUCGUCCUCUGUCCAAGUCUGGUGCUGCGGCGUAUCAUUGUCUACGACAUCAUUUGCUGCACUCCGUUCGCAGGACCGUCUUCGUCCCAUCAGCGCCGUUCGUCUUCCCGAAGGCCAAUACUCAGUACGUACUCUGUUAUUCGAUUUGUUUCUUAAUCAUAUUUUCUGAGUUUAUGUUUUUGCUGCAUCUUGCUACUAGUAUGAUAGAGCUGUUCAUACUAGAUCUAGUCAUGUUCAUGAUUUAUUUAUUUUGAAAUUUAAUCAUACAAUUGUCUAAUUAUUCAACAAUCCAAAAACCUUAUGCUAGGCAAUCCGUUGAUUUUACUAUGGCUGGUUUUGCUGAUGUACUGAGGUCGGACAAGUUUACCAGUGUGCACUUUAAGAGAUGACAAGUCAAGGUCCGUCUCUGGCUUACUGUGCUACAUGCAUGGGAAGCGAGGCUUGGUAUUCCAAUAGGUGAACAUUCUCCUGAGGUGAGGAGGAAGUUCACGGAUGCCAACGACCUCUUCGUGGGAUGCGUGAUAAGUUUCUCGCUGAUCGUCUGGUUGAUGUGUACAUGCACAUAACAGAUGCAAAAGAACUGUAGGAUGCUUUGGUUGCCAAGUAUACCAUGAGAGCUUUCAUGACUUCAGGAUGGUGAACAACCGUUCUGUUGUAGAACAGGCUCAUGAGGUACAGGUUCUUGUCAAGGAGCUCGAACUCCUGAAGUGUCAUUUGCCUGACAAGUUUGUGGCUGGGUGCAUAAUUGCAAAGUUACCUUCCUCAUGGAGGAAUUUCGCCACUACUCUGAAACACAAGAGACAGAAAAUAUCAGUUGAAAACCUGAUAGCAUCUCUUGAUGUUGAGGAGAAAGCUCGGGCGAAGGAUGCUUCUGAGAAAGGAGGCGAGGGUAACUCUAGUACCAACAUGGUGCAGAAGAACCACCCACACAGCAAGAACAAGAAGGCAGCCCACAAGCCUUUCAAGACUACUACCUUCAAGAAAAAGAAGACUACAAAUGCCAAAGGAGCUUGCUACACGUGCGGUGAUGGGGACCACUUCGCGAGAGAUUGUCGAAACCGUGCCGACCGCAAGGCAAAGGCUAAUCAUGGAUCAUGAGGAUUCAAGGAUGUCAACAUGACAACACUGGGCAGCACUGAGGAUGGGCCAUCCAAGGUUCAAGCGUGCUGAUGGGGAACGGGUCACAUGCUUCUGUUUGUGGUGUAGGUACGAUAGAUCUGUAGUUUACUUCGGGGAAGAUCGUGCAGCUGAAAAUGUCCCAACUAUCAACAAGAAUCUUGUGAGCAGCUCCCUUUUGUGCAAAGACGGGUUUAAUGUAGUAUUAGAGUCCAAUAAAUUAGUCGUGUCGAAAUAUGGACAAUUCAUUGGUAAAGGCUAUGAUUGCGGAGGUUUGUUUCGCUUUUCCCUUGUAGAAUUUUGUAAUAAGUCAGUGAACCAUAUUUGUGGUGUUGUUAAUGAUGAUGCGAGUAUUUGGCACUCU
RNA transcript from Panicum virgatum (switchgrass), 4679 nucleotides. It is a transcript of the gene named translation initiation factor IF-2-like, with no coding region annotated. Lineage: Eukaryota; Viridiplantae; Streptophyta; Magnoliopsida; Poales; Poaceae. The record is from RefSeq and is a predicted model, not a curated record. The transcript has 5 exons.